Dermacentor albipictus is the source of this 814-nucleotide non-coding RNA. The record is from RefSeq and is a predicted model, not a curated record. Lineage: Eukaryota; Metazoa; Arthropoda; Arachnida; Ixodida; Ixodidae.
AGUUCGCCGAAAGCCAUUGCGACACGUUGGAACAAGGCCAUAAAACGUAACAUGUAGUCAUGGCCCCGGAAAGUAUGCCAGGUGGUUGGCAUGAGUAUUUUCGAAAGGACGUGAGGUGAGGUGCGUCGAGCACGGUGUUUUCCCUUCGGGUGUACCGAGAGAACGGCCUCUGCUCGACCACCAAGUCGACGAAGGAGUCGCUCGUUCGCACGGCGACGCCCUGUGGCAUGCUGCGACACGGCGGUCAAUGCACCUCAUCAUGCCCCACGCGCUUGACAUGGCGUGGCAGUGUGCGCUGCUAGCAUCUGCAACCUCAAAACAUUGGCCGGUUCGCAAUGGUCGAGCAGCACCCCGUCUAUUUCUACGCCCGAAUUGAAGGCUGUCGAUCGCCUCUAAAAAGAACGCUUCUACAACGAAAUGACCCGCAUAACUUAGCGUGGAAGCAUGGGUUUAUUGGUGAUUCAUUGAAAAAAAAAUACAAAAAACCAGGACACUGAGCAAAAAUGACAGGGACACAAGAGACUGACAUUCACACAGCGCUGAAUUGCAACAGUUUGUAUAACCAAGUAUAACGAAGGAAUAAUUGUAUACCGGUUCUAUUGUGGUCUGUGUGGUGCGCGACCCUUACGACGAAGUCACCUGUAUAACGAAUUAUUUCGGAGGCCGCGAGUAUUUCAUUAUAAAGGCGUUCUACUGCAUAGCGUGUUGGACGUAUCUUACCACAUCUUCGCACAGCGUCCCACGUUCACUCCCAGCUGGCGACUGUAAACUUACAUCGACUAUGGCGCAAUGCAAUACAAAUUUAUAAUUCAAA